RNAcentral lists this small nucleolar RNA (88 nucleotides) under Erinaceus europaeus (western European hedgehog). RNAcentral's name for it is "Small nucleolar RNA SNORA68 (ENSEEUG00000023065.1)". It matches the Rfam family "Small nucleolar RNA SNORA68", at positions 45 to 133 of the family's 133-position model. From Rfam's summary of the family: U68 is a member of the H/ACA class of small nucleolar RNAs (snoRNAs) which act as guides in the the modification of uridines to pseudouridines. Lineage: Eukaryota; Metazoa; Chordata; Mammalia; Eulipotyphla; Erinaceidae. The record is from RNAcentral.
CAAACACAGGUGCUAACAGAAAAGGGUACCUUGUCACCUUUGGAGGACUUUCUGUGCUCUUCAAUGUGAAUUUAGAGGUUCUACACAC